Molecule: microRNA precursor, 143 nt
Filed under: Picea abies (Norway spruce)
Lineage: Eukaryota; Viridiplantae; Streptophyta; Pinopsida; Pinales; Pinaceae
Description: miR11523b stem-loop (pab-MIR11523b)
Source: miRBase by way of RNAcentral
CCAGCUUUGGUAGAGAGCUUCAUCUUCUGAGCAGAUUCAAUGCCCGAACCCUACAUAACAGGAGUCGUCGGUAUGACACCAUUUUUGUAGGGUCAGGUAUUCAACUGCUCAGAAGUUGAAGUUAGACUUUACUUGCAGGGUGG